AGCAGCCGCGGUAAUUCCAGCUCCAAUAGCGUAUAUUAAAGUUGCUGCAGUUAAAAAGCUCGUAGUUGAAUUUCGGGACUAAUAUGUCGGUCGUGCCUCGGUACGUACUGGCUUAUUGGUUUCUCCUUUCUGAAGAACCAUGAUGUCAUUUAUUUGGUGUCGUGGGGAUUCAGGACUGUUACUUUGAAAAAAUUAGAGUGUUUAAAGCAGGCUCACGCUUGAAUACAUUAGCAUGGAAUAAUGAAAUAGGACGUUUGAUUCUAUUUUGUUGGUUUCUAGGAUCGACGUAAUGAUUAAUAGGGAUAGUUGGGGGCAUUAGUAUUCAAUUGUCAGAGGUGAAAUUCUUGGAUUUAUUGAAGACUAACUACUGCGAAAGCAUUUGCCAAGGAUGUUUUCAUUAAUCAAGAACGAAAGUUAGGGAUCGAAGACGAUCAGAUACCGUCGUAGUCU
RNAcentral lists this ribosomal RNA (450 nucleotides) under uncultured Glomeromycotina. RNAcentral's name for it is "SSU rRNA". It matches the Rfam family "Eukaryotic small subunit ribosomal RNA", at positions 569 to 1026 of the family's 1831-position model. The record is from RNAcentral. Lineage: Eukaryota; Fungi; Glomeromycota.